CGGUCCAUUCUAAUUCCCAUUAGGUCAGAGCCAGUACCUGCUGGGUUUCGCUUGUGGACCAAAUUAACUGGGAGACUCUUUAAAUAUGAGUUUACUGCUCGUGUGCUCAUAAUAAGAGUUUUCUGGACAUGC
Molecule: small nucleolar RNA, 132 nt
Organism: Crocodylus porosus (Australian saltwater crocodile)
Lineage: Eukaryota; Metazoa; Chordata; Crocodylia; Crocodylidae
Source: Ensembl